Molecule: non-coding RNA, 93 nt
Filed under: uncultured Pelagophyceae
Lineage: Eukaryota; Pelagophyceae
Source: RNAcentral
CAUCGAAAAAGACCAACGUCGCCUAACUCUCUCUCUCUCUCUUUCUUUCUUUCUUUCUUUCUUUCUUCUUUCUUUCUUUCUUUCUUUCUUCUU